This 282-nucleotide unclassified non-coding RNA is filed under the name Erysipelothrix rhusiopathiae. RNAcentral's name for it is "partial contains 16S-23S ribosomal RNA intergenic spacer and 23S ribosomal RNA". The record is from RNAcentral. Lineage: Bacteria; Bacillati; Bacillota; Erysipelotrichia; Erysipelotrichales; Erysipelotrichaceae.
CACCUCCUUUCUAAGGAGUAAUUAGAAAGACGUGAAGUUGACACCUAAAGUUUCCUGUUUAGUUUUGAGAGUCCGUUGGAAUCUCAAGAAAAAUGAUCUUUGAAAACUGAAUAACAGAAAAGAAAAAGAGAUAGACAAAGAAAUAAAUGUUAUCAACAUGAUCUUUUCGAAUAGUUGUAUAAAACUAGAUUUACAUCAAGUUAAACAAAAACAGUAACUUAAGCAAUUAAGUAAGCAAUCAAAGCAAACACACAGCUUAUCAAGCGAUAAGCGUUAAAAAAA